Molecule: ribosomal RNA, 527 nt
Filed under: uncultured bacterium
Lineage: Bacteria
Description: bacterial SSU rRNA
Rfam family: Bacterial small subunit ribosomal RNA
Source: RNAcentral
AAUAGAUACCCUGGUAGUCCACGCCGUAAACGAUGAGUGCUAGGUGGUUAGGGGGUCCAACCCUUAGUGCCGAAGUUAACACAUUAAGCACUCCGCCUGGGGAGUACGGCCGCAAGGCUGAAACUCAAAGGAAUUGACGGGGGCCCGCACAAGCGGUGGAGCAUGUGGUUUAAUUCGAAGCAACGCGAAGAACCUUACCAGGUCUUGACAUCCCUCUGACCUCUCUAGAGAUAGAGAUUCCCCCUUCGGGGGGCAGAGGUGACAGGUGGUGCAUGGUUGUCGUCAGCUCGUGUCGUGAGAUGUUGGGUUAAGUCCCGCAACGAGCGCAACCCUUGAGAUUAGUUGCCAGCAUUCAGUUGGGCACUCUAAUCUGACUGCCGCAGACAAUGCGGAGGAAGGUGGGGAUGACGUCAAAUCAUCAUGCCCCUUAUGACCUAGGCUACGCACGUGCUACAAUGGAUGGUACAAAGGGUUGCGAAGCCGUGAGUGGAGCCAAUCCCAUAAAGCCAUUCUCAGUUCGGAUUGGU